AGUAGGCAGCUGACAGAAAGUUCUGCAAUUGCCUGUGCCAAACUGUGUAAAGCAAGUACUUACAUCAAUUGGGAAGAUAACGCUGUCAUUUUCCUACUUGUUCAGUCCAUGGUGGUUGAUCUUAAGAACCUGCUUUUUAAUCCAAGUAAGCCAGUCUCAAGGGGCAGUCAGCCUGCAGAUGUGGAUCUUAUGAUUGACUGCCUUGUUUCUUGCCUUCGUGUAAGCCCUCACAACAACCAACAGUUUAAGAUCUGCCUGGUGCAGAAUUCACAUUCUACAUUUCACUAUGUGCUGGUAAAUUCACUCCAUCAAAUCAUCACCAAUG
Molecule: long non-coding RNA, 325 nt
Organism: Pan troglodytes (chimpanzee)
Lineage: Eukaryota; Metazoa; Chordata; Mammalia; Primates; Hominidae
Exons: 3
Source: RefSeq, a predicted model, not a curated record